Molecule: ribosomal RNA, 427 nt
Filed under: uncultured bacterium
Lineage: Bacteria
Description: bacterial SSU rRNA
Rfam family: Bacterial small subunit ribosomal RNA
Source: RNAcentral
UGGGGAAUUUUGGACAAUGGGCGCAAGCCUGAUCCAGCCAUGCCGCGUGCAGGAUGAAGGCCUUCGGGUUGUAAACUGCUUUUGUACGGAACGAAAAGACUCCUUCUAAUAAAGGGGGUCCAUGACGGUACCGUAAGAAUAAGCACCGGCUAACUACGUGCCAGCAGCCGCGGUAAUACGUAGGGUGCGAGCGUUAAUCGGAAUUACUGGCCGUAAAGCGUGCGCAGGCGGUUAUAUAAGACAGAUGUGAAAUCCCCGGGCUCAACCUGGGAACUGCAUUAGUGACUGUAUAGCUAGAGUACGGCAGAGGGGGAUGGAAUUCCGCGUGUAGCAGUGAAAUGCGUAGAUAUGCGGAGGAACACCGAUGGCGAAGGCAAUCCCCUGGGCCUGUACUGACGCUCAUGCACGAAAGCGUGGGGAGCAAACA